AUUGAACGCUGGCGGCAUGCCUUACACAUGCAAGUCGAACGGCAGCACGGGUGCUUGCACCUGGUGGCGAGUGGCGCACGGGUGAGUAAUACAUCGGAACAUGUCCUGUAGUGGGGGAUAGCCCGGCGAAAGCCGGAUUAAUACCGCAUACGAUCUACGGAUGAAAGCGGGGGCCCUUCGGGCCUCGCGCUAUAGGGUUGGCCGAUGGCUGAUUAGCUAGUUGGUGGGGUAAAGGCCUACCAAGGCGACGAUCAGUAGCUGGUCUGAGAGGACGACCAGCCACACUGGGACUGAGACACGGCCCAGACUCCUACGGGAGGCAGCAGUGGGGAAUUUUGGACAAUGGGCGAAAGCCUGAUCCAGCAAUGCCGCGUGUGUGAAGAAGGCCUUCGGGUUGUAAAGCACUUUUGUCCGGAAAGAAAUCCUUGGCCCUAAUACGGUCGGGGGAUGACGGUACCGGAAGAAUAAGCACCGGCUAACUACGUG
This 486-nucleotide ribosomal RNA is filed under the name uncultured bacterium. RNAcentral's name for it is "partial 16S ribosomal RNA". It matches the Rfam family "Bacterial small subunit ribosomal RNA", at positions 30 to 507 of the family's 1533-position model. The record is from RNAcentral.